UGUAAGUGCGGGAAAAUUUG
Molecule: unclassified non-coding RNA, 20 nt
Filed under: Chlamydomonas reinhardtii
Lineage: Eukaryota; Viridiplantae; Chlorophyta; Chlorophyceae; Chlamydomonadales; Chlamydomonadaceae
Description: small RNA Cre_3511
Source: RNAcentral